RNAcentral lists this ribosomal RNA (253 nucleotides) under uncultured bacterium. RNAcentral's name for it is "partial 16S ribosomal RNA". It matches the Rfam family "Bacterial small subunit ribosomal RNA", at positions 524 to 776 of the family's 1533-position model. The record is from RNAcentral.
UACGUAGGGGGCUAGCGUUGUCCGGAAUCAUUGGGCGUAAAGAGCGUGUAGGCGGUCCGGUACGUCCGCUGUGAAAGUCGGGGGCUCAACCCUCGAAUGCCGGUGGAUACUGUCGGGCUAGAGUGCGGAAGAGGCGAGUGGAAUUCCUGGUGUAGCGGUGAAAUGCGCAGAUAUCAGGAGGAACACCUAUUGCGAAGGCAGCUCGCUGGGACGUAACUGACGCUGAGACGCGAAAGCGUGGGGAGCAAACAGG